UACAGAGGUCUCGAGCGUUGUUCGGAUUCAUUGGGCGUAAAGGGUGCGUAGGUGGCGUGGUAAGUCUGGUGUGAAAUCCCGGGGCUCAACCCCGGAACUGCACUGGAUACUGCCAUGCUUGAGUACUGGAGAGGAGAUUGGAAUUUACGGUGUAGCAGUGAAAUGCGUAGAUAUCAGGAGGAACACCGGUGGCGAAGGCGGGUCUCUGGGCCGAUACUGACGCUGAGGAGCGAAAGCAUGGGGGAGCGAACAGG
RNAcentral lists this ribosomal RNA (254 nucleotides) under uncultured bacterium. Its description in RNAcentral is "partial 16S ribosomal RNA". It matches the Rfam family "Bacterial small subunit ribosomal RNA", at positions 524 to 776 of the family's 1533-position model. The record is from RNAcentral.